CGUCAUGGCGGCUGGGCCCGGGCCUGGCUAGGGAUCCGGGAUCAGCGGUGGGAGCCGAAGGCGGGGGGAACCCAGCUCUCGCUGGACACUUCCCGAUCCCGGCCGCAGCGACUGGUCUUCUAUGUUCAAGGAAUGCGCCAGCCUUUGGGAACUCAGAGACGAAAGAGACACGCUCUAUUCCUAAUAAGUUUAAGAUUUAGUGGACAAGGUGCUUGAUAAACGCUUGUUCCGUGAAUGAUGGAUCGUGACCUUGUGGAGCUAGGAUGUGGAGUUCACGAAGGAGAACAGCAGGUUAGGCUAAAAGGUGAGGACAUGGAUCUACGGAGAGGUGGAGUCAUUGGUCUCGAAGGAGCUCAGCAGAUAUCAAAUCUGACUCGUUUGACCUCGGAGCUGGCCUGCUUAACCAGAGUUCGGAUGGCCUCUCAUUCCCCCUCGGUCAUCUGCCUGUGAAAGCGAGCUUUUUCAAAAGGUAGGGGCCUGUGAUGCUUCUGCUUCCAGACCACCCGGGAACUCUGGCAGUUUGAAGAGAGCAGACAAGGCCUUUCACACUCUAACUGCAGACUCACUGCAGACUCACUCUGCACCCUGCCCAACAGCCCUGCCUCUGGCAAGCCACACAGAACGCCUUGUGGAAGCACGCCCUGACUUUUCACUCUCUGCACUUUUUUCUGCUCUUCUUAUUACACUGCGAUUUUUUUCCCCUUUAUAUCUUGGAUCUUCAGUUCAGAAGACUGAACUAUUCACACUGCACAGUUAAAGACAUGCCGUGAUAGUUGGCACCUCCAAAGUCCUCCACGUGUUGUUUGUCUCUAUGCAUCACCUUCGUCCCUCCUCCCAUUUCUCUUACCCCGCCACCUUUCUAGUAUAUUUACAUGUUAUGCUUUUUUAUGUCACUCUAAAAUAUGUAUUUGUGUGUGUGUAUGUUUAAUUUACAUAAAUGGUAU
Molecule: long non-coding RNA, 944 nt
Organism: Phyllostomus hastatus (greater spear-nosed bat)
Lineage: Eukaryota; Metazoa; Chordata; Mammalia; Chiroptera; Phyllostomidae
Exons: 5
Source: RefSeq, a predicted model, not a curated record